This is a non-coding RNA of Artomyces pyxidatus, 82 nucleotides long. NCBI's taxonomy places the organism in Eukaryota, Fungi, Basidiomycota, Agaricomycetes, Russulales, Auriscalpiaceae. The record is from the annotation of a GenBank genome assembly.
GGCUCAAUGGUCUAGUCGCAUGAUUCCUUCUUCGGGUCCACCCAAUUGGAGGAGGUCCCGGGUUCAAUUCCCGGUUGAGCCC